This 835-nucleotide ribosomal RNA is filed under the name microbial mat metagenome. RNAcentral's name for it is "bacterial SSU rRNA". It matches the Rfam family "Bacterial small subunit ribosomal RNA", at positions 376 to 1242 of the family's 1533-position model. The record is from RNAcentral.
CGCAAGCCUGAUGCAGCAACGCCGCGUGAAGGAUGAAGGCUUUCGAGUUGUAAACUUCUUUUCUGCGGGAAGAGAACGGACGGUACCGCAGGAACAAGUCUCGGCUAACUACGUGCCAGCAGCCGCGGUAAAACGUAGGAGGCGAGCGUUAUCCGGAUUUACUGGGCGUAAAGCGCACGCAGNCGGUGGCAUCAGUGAUGCGUGAAAGCUCCCGGCUCAACUGGGAGAGGCCGUAUCAUACUGUGUCACUGGAGACAGAUAGAGGCAUACGGAAUUCCGGGUGGAGUGGUGAAAUGCGUAGAGAUCCGGAGGAACACCAGUGGCGAAGGCGGUAUGCUGGGUCUGAUCUGACGCUGAGGUGCGAAAGCGUGGGGAGCGAACGGGAUUAGAAACCCCGGUAGUCCACGCCGUAAACGAUGCAAACUAGAUGUUAGCGGUCGAAAGGCCGUGAGUGUCGUAGCUAACGCGAUAAGUUUGCCGCCUGGGGACUACGGCCGCAAGGCUAAAACUCAAAGGAAUUGACGGGGACCCGCACAAGCAGCGGAGCGUGUGGUUUAAUUCGAGGCUACGCGAAGAACCUUACCUGGGCUUGACAUGAUGGUAGUAGCGACCUGAAAGGGAAGCGACCUUCGGGAGCCAUCACAGGUGCUGCAUGGCUGUCGUCAGCUCGUGCCGUGAGGUGUUCGGUUAAGUCCGAAAACGAGCGCAACCCCUAGCCCUAGUUACAAGUGUCUAGUGCGACUGCCCGGGGAAACUGGGAGGAAGGUGGGGAUGACGUCAAGUCAGCAUGGCCUUUAUGUCCAGGGCUACACACACGCUACAAUGGCCGGUACAA